AUGCCUUCCAAAUUCAUGGUGCCCCUUGCAAAUUCAUGCCCAUUUCCAGGAGUCCUGAUUGUAAAUGAAUCAUUUUUGAGGUGACUCCUCAUGGAUAGGAGACUAAUACAUUGUUUCUAGUUGACUAACCCCUUCUAUAAGAUGCUAAUUUGCUGAAAAGUUGCUCCUCAUGGUUCAUUCCAUAUUCCCUAACAAAGUCAACACUUACAUUACCUAGGUUUGGACACCCUCAUCCUUGCCACCUGAGGGGAUGAGGUCUCUGAAUAGGAGGGAAUGAAGGCAAGCUGGGACUAUGCUCCCUGGACAUACAUCAGCUAUAGCUCUAAGAUACUAUCAAUAUCCCCAAUUUAGAUGGGGAAACUCUUUGAAGCUCAGUGAAGUUAAGAAAUUGGCCAAGCUUACGUAGAUUAUAAGGUGGAGCAGUCAUAAUAUGACAUUAGAACUUUCCCAUAUUCUUUUCAUUUUGCCCUUCUGCUUUCUAAAGGGCAUAGAAAUUUGAGUACCAGAAGGCUCUGGAACCUAGUAUUCAAGAGGGGAGCCAGAGAACUGAUGUUUUUAGCCAGCAGUGAUUGCCCCCACCCAAGUCUUCCCAAUAUUGUGACAGCUUGUCUCUCUCACACAGACUUAUACAAGGCCCACAGAAUUUGCUUUCUGUUGCUCCCUUAGUUGGGAUCUUUGUUCUUUUGCAGUGGAAUAUUUAAUCCCAGGCCCUAUCUGGGUUUGUUGGUUGGCUUUCUUUUUUUGUAUUUUUUAUAUUCUUUUGCAGUUGCUUCUGAUCAUUGUACCUUCCAGGGUUGUGAGUGGUUUCUCCUGUUGCUCCUCCUCCUCAUGUGGUACGCUGAUCAGCUCCUCUCCCCGCCUCUCUUAGAACCUGAUUUCACUCCAGCCUGGUGGGACCACCUUUAUCUUCAGAUGGGAAUGGAGUCUGAAUGGCCUUCCUGAGAGCAAAGGGAACCCGUUCCUUUGUUUCCUUGUAACCAUCCUUGGACCUGACUCAGCAAUCAAUCUAGCCCUGGAGGAAUCUAACCUUCCUGAUGCAACCCCAAGUUCUCCUCAAAACCAACUCCUGCCCCAGCAACUGAAGUACCUUUCCUCCUGGACCAUAUGAACUGACCCAGAUUUUUCCCUUCUGUGGUGUGUCAAAUUAUGCCUUGCACCUUGGAAAUCCCAUGUGAGACUAUCCCAAGGUGCUGCAUCUUCUACCUCAUGGAGUAUACUCCCAGAAAUUACAGUGUAUUUUUCUAGGGUAGUAUCUUUAACAAAGCAGAUGGAUUCUUCUAAAUUUGGCAACAAUAGGGUUUAGAUGGGAGACUUCUGCAUGGCAGGAUGCCAGUCCUGUCGGUCCUGAAAACAUGAGUGACUGGCAGAUGCCAUUUUGGUCCAAAAAGUUGACUUGCUUGAAAUUCAACUUCAAAUUAAGCUUUUAAUAAGAUCAACCUGGGGGCCAAUUUGGUCUUUCUCUAGGUUGUGUUCUCAUGUUUACUCAAAGCGGGACCAAGAUGAUAGUCAUCUGAGGUUGCCAUUUUCAAAGGCUGAGGAUUUGGAAUAUUUGUUUCCCUAUGAAUUUUGGAAACUGGCUUUUCACCUUUGGAGUGACUCUUUGUGAAGCUGUUGCCCUGAGGCCAAAAUUAACCAGGGAUUUAAAAUUGGGCUGGGGACAAGGUGCUAGAGUCUCAGACUCUGAAAAGGUUUCAUGAGGCUGAGUGUUCAGUCACUCAUGUGUUCAGGUGUAUUUUUAAAAGUGUGUAUGUGAGAUGCAUGUACAUAUAUAUGUGUCUGUUUCUCAGGAAAUAGGAAACUAGAAAAGAAAGAUACUAUAACCUCAAAAAUUAAAAAAAAAAAAACUUUUUUGAGCUAGACUAAAAAUUAGAUAAGUUGCUUUUGUCUACCUGCAAAUGAAUCAUUGUAGAAAUAUGAUCAUCUUAUGUCAUCAACAAAGUUGUUUUCUAGAAGAGAACUGGGAGAAUCAAAUGAGAUAUUCAGACUGAGGACUGAGUUGAUUUCUGGUUUCUGUGCAGCAGGUACAGGUGUAAUGGUUUGACACCUCUCCCUAUCUGCUGCCUCCACUAGGCUUUCCCUGAGAACAUCCCACAGCAAUCCACAUGACCUAUGGGAUGUCCUGUCUUAGAUGGAGUUAGUUGGGAGAGACCGGAGACUACCUGCUACUGGGUGAAUGAGCUUGACAGGUUCUUUGUUUUCCCCAGUUCUUGUCACAGAGGAAGCAACAGCCAGGAAAUUUUCGUGUAGUGACUGCUAAGCUGUAGGUAGCCCCUUAGAUCCCUGUCAGUCUCCCUGAUUUUGGGUACUAGCUGUAUUUCAGCUUUGACAGUAAUGCUUUCUAAGGAAGAGAAAGCACCCUGAUCCAGACACUGCCUAUUAGCUUCCUGUGCAAAGGCUCCUCACUUCUCACUACCCAGCACUCAGACAGAGCCACAGGGAUGCCUUUCUCCCCAUGGCUAUGAUGUUAGAAGACAGGCUGUAAUCUCAGGCCUUUACUGUCAUCUGAGACUGAGGCCUGGGGCUUAAAGUUUGGAAUGCAACACAUGAAGGGUUUUUGUAUUUUUUAAAUGUAAAUUUGAUUAUUUUAUUGCUAAUUUAAAAAUAAAUGACUUUCUAAAGAUUGCAAAUCAGUUCUGUCUCUUAUCUCCCUGCAAACACUUGGUGAUCUGGUGCCACCAUGUGGUGGUUUCUGUUCAGGUUUUGGGACUCUGGUGGUUUAGAAAGUUCAAGUUUUUGAAAGUGGCUUCACUCCCAAAGAAUGCAGUGUAACUGCACUUGAGUUUCAGAGUUGAGGUCCUGCCCACAAAAGACUUUGUUCAUUCGUUCAGAGCACCUUGCUAUUUUUCUGUGAACACUCCGGGUUCCAGAAGCCAGAUCCAUCACUCUUCCCUUUUGCUGCUCCUUUUCCCUUUGUACCCUCCUCCAUGUUCAGAGGCACCAGUCUUCCUUUAGUCAGAACUAUCUCCUUCACAGUGAUGUCAUUGCUCAUGUGCUUUUUCUUUCCUUGUCUGGAUGAGCAGAAGAAGAUCAUGAUCAUGAUCUGCUGUGUUAUCCUUGUGAUCAUCUUGGCUUCCACCAUUGGGAGCAUAUUUUCCUGAAAAAGGUGAGCUGUCAUCGGGGAGGAGGGUCAGGUCUGCUUUCACUAAACACUCUUGUGUUCGGGAGCAUUCACUGUUUGUUGCCAGUUUCCCUAAUCUGUGUGUGAUGAGGUGCUAGAAUAGGUAAAGAGUAAACUAAGGAAAAGGAUGUUUCAGAUAAAAAUGAGUGGAGCUGGUAGCAGUCAGUGGGAGAGCAAGGAAGAAAGGAGGCAGAAAUCUGUCCCAUAACUGCACCUGGGAGCAGAAUGCUUUGUACAGGUCAAAUUGUUGAUUCCUGCUGUAAAAAUUGAGCCUUGGUGUCUGGGAAUGGCAGAAUGAGAAAGAAUUAGCUCUUGCAUUAGGUGGACCCUGAACUGGGGUUAGGAUAAGAUAGUAUAACCUUGUGAAUAUUGUCUUACCCCUACUGAAGAGGGAGUUAUUUGAAAAUAAAAUACCAUGCUCUACAAUCUAUGAUUUUCCCCCUCCAUUCUUCUGUUAUUUCCUUCUGCCCUCACAGAUGGAUCUUCGUGGCAUUUCCAAUCCUUCUCCCACCUUUGUGGGGUCAUCACUUCACUGCAGACUCCUCAUCAGCUACACCUCUUUCCAUUAGGCAACUUAUUAUGACACAAAGCAUCAAUCAACUACUUAUUACGUUAUGCAAAGGGAGAAUGUAUGCAAAUAUGGAAAUGGGAGGGGGAAGGAAUGAAGGAACAGAGGGCACAGCAAUAUGUAGUUGGUUAGGCAAAUGGUUUAAAGGAAGGGCCUGCAGGGUACAUCAAUAGGCAUAAUGGGUACCUGCUUAGGAGAUGACGACUGGAGCCCACACCAACAGGAUGGCUGUGGAGAGGCAGUUCCUGUAGCACACCCAGUUCAACAGGGUCUUCUGUGAACUAAGAUCAGCACAUCUGUUACUUCUGCUUUUAAGGCUCUUCUAGGUCUCACCCUUGACCAACUAUAUAUCUUCUUCCUUCUUCAGGGUCCAACAGUAGUCUUCAAAUUGGGAGGUACCAGGCCUUGUCUUGCUCACUGCUCUGUCCCCAGUGCUUAGCACAGUGCCUGCCACUCACAGGUGCUCAAAUAUCUGCUGACUCAGCGAUCUAUUAUUAAGUUGUGAUUCCACUCAUGGAUGAGUGCUUGGGAUUGACUCUUUAAAGGCAUCAAUGGGAACCUUUUAAAAUUUUUUUUACUUAUUUUUUUUAUUGUCAGAAGCUGUGAAAGCUGACAGCCACUGGGCUGAUACACUUAACAGCCCCCCCCACCCCACCCCGUUUUUUUUUUGUGUGUAUGUGUGGGUGGUGAUGGUGGAGUCCUAUUAGUAGCCUCUUUCCGUAAAGAAGAUGGUUGGUUGCAGGAUGGCAGUUCACUAAUAGACCUCCAACAAAAGCAACAUGUUUAUAUCAAGACUGAACCUCCAACAGUCAACAUACCAUGCUCUGUAGUCCACACAAACAGGUGAAGUGUGAGGUAAGAAAGGAGGAGUAAGUGGUCGCUUGCUUUACUUCUUCGUGGUAUGUAUCGCAGGCUGAAACUGUUGGUUGGAAUGCACCAGCACAGAAGUGGUCCAGAGGCUGUGUCCAACUCAAGGUUGUUCUGUUCCCCUUUAAAAACUAUGUAUAUGUGAGUUCCAAUAUGAAUGAUUUACUUAGUGAUUACACUGCAAAAGGAUCACUAAAAAUUCAUAGUACAUGACUUGUUGAGGACCACCCAACUGUGCAGAUGUGCACUUCUGAAAGUCGGUGAUAAAUUCUUAUUUUCUUUUCUGGAGAUGUAAUUUUUUUAAGAAAAUGGGAUAAAAAUGACAUUUUUAUCAGUGUGCUUUCUAUUAAUUUUCAAAAGCAAAUGGUUUAACAUUUCUUGUAAUUUGUGUUUCCUUUAGUUUGAAUAGGGGCUAUAACCGGCUAGCUCUGAAAUAUGGAUUAAUCUUGUUAUAAACAGGGUGCUGGAACCGUGGGAAUUUGAAUCACAUGGGGUCCUCAUUCACCCAGCAGUGGUAAUUUGUGUGCCAGAUGGCAUAUGGCACUGUGCUAAUCCUGCAGAGACACAAAGAGCCUAACACUCCCCUCCUUGAGACCUCCAGACUAGGAGGCACCAUGUAAUUUCAACUUUUAAGUUCCUUUGCUAAAAGCUAUGUUCCUUGUCAUAUUGUCCAACAUCCCCUCUUUCCAGAUUCAAAGAAGAUGGGUAGAUGGCACCAAUAAAUAUCUCUUGAAUCCAUUAACCUAUUAAGUGUCAUUAUUUUCUUUGUUAC
Molecule: long non-coding RNA, 5325 nt
Filed under: Marmota monax (woodchuck)
Lineage: Eukaryota; Metazoa; Chordata; Mammalia; Rodentia; Sciuridae
Source: RNAcentral